Molecule: ribosomal RNA, 776 nt
Filed under: uncultured Neocallimastigales
Lineage: Eukaryota; Fungi; Neocallimastigomycota; Neocallimastigomycetes; Neocallimastigales
Description: partial large subunit ribosomal RNA
Rfam family: Eukaryotic large subunit ribosomal RNA
Source: RNAcentral
CGCAUCUGUGCAUGCAGCAUAUCAAUAAGCGGAGGAAAAGAAACUAACAAGGAUUCCCCUAGUAACGGCGAGUGAAGCGGGAAGAGCUCAAAUUUGAAAUCUUAAAGGGUUUCCCUUUACGAAUUGUAGUUUAAAGAAGUGUUUUCUGUUGAGGUUUUGGUAAAAGUUCUUUGGAAUAGGACAUCAUAGAGGGUGAGAAUCCCGUAUUUGACCUUUACUUUCAACUUUGUGAUACACUUUCAAAGAGUCGGAUUGUUUGGGAAUGCAGUCCAAAAUGGGUGGUAAAUUUCAUCUAAAGCUAAAUAUUGGCGAGAGACCGAUAGCGAACAAGUACCGUGAGGGAAAGAUGAAAAGAACUUUGAAAAGAGAGUUAAACAGUACGUGAAAUUGUCAAAAGGGAAGCGUUUGGACACCAGUGUUGUUUUUCUGAAAAUCAAUUAAAGAACUGUUUAUGCUAAGCUUGUUUAGACUUUAUCAGCUAUCUGUUUAGUUUUGAGCUUUUCUUUAAUGCACUUUUCAGUUAACAAGUCAACAUCAAUUUCUUUUGCUGUAAAAAAGCUUGAGGAAGGUGGCUUGAGAUUCGUCUUAAGUGUUUAUAGCCUCUUGCCUAUGCAGUCGGAGAGAUUGAGGUCUGCAGCGUAGAUCCUUCGGGGCUAAAUGCAUUUGUGCUAAGUUAUAGCAUUUUAUAGACAACUUGUUGACUAUGAUUUGUCUUGUAGCUUACUCGCUUAUGUUAUUUUACCUACGCUUAGGAUGUUGAAUCUGUGCGAGACUAC